GACGAACGCUGGCGGCGUGCUUAACACAUGCAAGUCGAACGGAAAGGCCCUGCUUUCACAGUACUCUAAUGACGAACGAGUGAGUGACUCAUGGGUGAGCUGCCCUCCACUUAGCGAUAAACCUGAGAAACUGGCUCUAGUACCUAACACAUGACAACUUUAGUGUUAUGGUUGGAGAUUUUUUUCUGUAUUGGAUUAGCUCGCGGACUAUCCGCUGGUUGGUGGGGUAAUUGCCUACCAAGGCGGCGACGGGUAGCCGGCCUGAGAGGGUGGACGGCCACAGUGGGACUGAGAGACGGCGCAGACGCCUACGGGAGGCAGCAGUGGGGAAUAUUGCACAAUGGGCGCAAGCCUGAUGCAGCGACGCCGCGGUGGGGAUGACGUGCUUCGGGUUGUAAACGCCGUUCGCUAGGGACGAAGCAUUUUGUGACGGUACCUAGAUAAGAAGCACCGGCUAACUACGUG
RNAcentral lists this ribosomal RNA (465 nucleotides) under uncultured bacterium. RNAcentral describes it as "partial 16S ribosomal RNA". It matches the Rfam family "Bacterial small subunit ribosomal RNA", at positions 28 to 507 of the family's 1533-position model. The record is from RNAcentral.